UACGUAGGUGGCAAGCGUUAUCCGGAUUUAUUGGGUGUAAAGGGCGUGUAGGCGGGAAUGCAAGUCAGAUGUGAAAACUAUGGGCUCAACCCAUAGCCUGCAUUUGAAACUGUAUUUCUUGAGUGCUGGAGAGGCAAUCGGAAUUCCGUGUGUAGCGGUGAAAUGCGUAGAUAUACGGAGGAACACCAGUGGCGAAGGCGGAUUGCUGGACAGUAACUGACGCUGAGGCGCGAAAGCGUGGGUAGCAAACAGG
Molecule: ribosomal RNA, 253 nt
Filed under: uncultured bacterium
Lineage: Bacteria
Description: partial 16S ribosomal RNA
Rfam family: Bacterial small subunit ribosomal RNA
Source: RNAcentral